CGAGCUCCGAUCUUGAAACAUUACACAAGGAUUCACAAACAUGACAGAGUCUAAAGUGAUAAAGUAAUUGUCAGCACUACCUGACCAUGGCUCUGAAAAACAACACAGCAAGUAUGUGUGUUUGUGUGUGUGUGUGUGUGUGUGUGUUUGUGUGUGUGUGUGUGUGUGUAGUUUUGAGUUAGGAGUGUCAAACUGAUGUGUGUGUGUGUUUGUGUGUGUGUGUGUGUGUGUAGUUUUGAGUUAGGAGUGUCAAACUGAUGUGUGUGUGUGUGUGUGUGUGUGUGUGUGUGUGUUUUUGAGUUAGGAGUGUCAAACUGAUGUGUGUGUGUGUGUUUUUGAGUUAGGAGUGUCAAACUGAUGUGUGUGUGUGGUUUUGAGUUAGGAGUGUCAAACUGAUGUGUGUGUGUGUGUGUGUGUGUGUAGUUUUGAGUUAGGAGUGUCAAACUGAUGUGUGUGUGUGUGUGUGUGUGGUUUUGAGUUAGGAGUGUCAAACUGAUGUGUGUGUGUGUGUGUGUGUGUGUGUGUGUGUGUGUGUGUGUGUGUGUGUGUGUGGAUGCACGCGCGUGUGUGUGUGUGUGUGUGUGUGUGUGUG
Ictalurus punctatus (channel catfish) is the source of this 592-nucleotide long non-coding RNA. NCBI's taxonomy places the organism in Eukaryota, Metazoa, Chordata, Actinopteri, Siluriformes, Ictaluridae. The record is from Ensembl.